UAAAAGUCGUAACAAGGUUUCCGUAGGUGAACCUGCGGAAGGAUCAUUACCGAAGCUAACGUGUCUUUACACACACACUGUGAACUGUACACUACGCGUGACGGGGUGUCUCACCGAUCCGAGACUUGAAUGCAUGAGCGAAUGCAGCCCCUCAUUCAGUGAAACCUAUACACUGUUGUUCCGUCGCCUGCGGUCGCGUUGUUGACCGACCGACCGCAAGACAAACAAACAAGAGACAACUUCUAACGGUGGAUCUCUUGGCUCGUGCAUCGAUGAAGAACGUAGCCAGUUGCGAUAAGUAAUGUGAAUUGCAGAAUGAAGUGAAUCAUCGAAUCUUUGAACGCAAAUUGCACUCUCUGGAUAUCCAGGGAGUAUAUCUGUCUGAGUGUCGUGAAACAAAUCCAUACACUCGGGUGUAGCUAAGAGGCUCACGGUGCACCCGUCGCCCUGUCCUCUCAUGUUUCUGACAGUCUUUGCAUUGCGUGAACUCGCACGGCGAAGAAGGCUCAACUCGCUUCUGUCCUUCCCGCAGUCGAGACACCUCUGCGCGUGUGCUGUCCAAGUCCACCCACGGCGGACAAACACCAACCAAUGACCUCAGAUCAGGUAAGACUACCCGCUGAAUUUAAGCAUAUCAAUA
Molecule: ribosomal RNA, 640 nt
Filed under: uncultured eukaryote
Lineage: Eukaryota
Description: eukaryotic LSU rRNA
Rfam family: 5.8S ribosomal RNA (bases 238-391)
Source: RNAcentral